Molecule: ribosomal RNA, 451 nt
Filed under: uncultured bacterium
Lineage: Bacteria
Description: partial 16S ribosomal RNA
Rfam family: Bacterial small subunit ribosomal RNA
Source: RNAcentral
AACGAACGCUGGCGGCAGGCUUAACACAUGCAAGUCGAACGGGCGUAGCAAUACGUCAGUGGCAGACGGGUGAGUAACACGUGGGAACCUUCCUAGGGGUACGGAACAACUCAGGGAAACUUGAGCUAAUACCGUAUACGUCCGUGAGGAGAAAGAUUUAUCGCCCUUAGACGGGCCCGCGUCGGAUUAGCUAGUUGGUGGGGUAACGGCCUACCAAGGCGACGAUCCGUAGCUGAUCUUAGAGGAUGAUCAGCCACACUGGGACUGAGACACGGCCCAGACUCCUACGGGAGGCAGCAGUGGGGAAUCUUGGACAAUGGGCGCAAGCCUGAUCCAGCCAUGCCGCGUGAGUGAAGAAGGCCUUAGGGUUGUAAAGCUCUUUUACCAGGGACGAUAAUGACGGUACCUGGAGAAUAAGCCCCGGCAAACUUCGUGCCAGCCGCCGCCGUAA